CCUACGGGGGGCUGCAGUGGGGAAUAUUGGACAAUGGGCGAAAGCCUGAUCUAGCCAUGCCGCGUGUGUGAAGAAGGCCUUCGGGUUGUAAAGCACUUUCAGUGGGGAAGAAAGCCUUGGGGCUAAUACCCUCGAGGAAGGACAUCACCCACAGAAGAAGCACCGGCUAACUCCGUGCCAGCAGCCGCGGUAAUACGGAGGGUGCGAGCGUUAAUCGGAAUUACUGGGCGUAAAGCGCGCGUAGGCGGUCUGAUAAGCCGGUUGUGAAAGCCCCGGGCUCAACCUGGGAACGGCAUCCGGAACUGUCAGGCUAGAGUGCAGGAGAGGAAGGUAGAAUUCCCGGUGUAGCGGUGAAAUGCGUAGAGAUCGGGAGGAAUACCAGUGGCGAAGGCGGCCUUCUGGACUGACACUGACGCUGAGGUGCGAAAGCGUGGGUAGCAAACAGGAUUAGAUACCCCAGUAGUC
This 465-nucleotide ribosomal RNA is filed under the name Vreelandella stevensii. RNAcentral's name for it is "partial 16S ribosomal RNA". It matches the Rfam family "Bacterial small subunit ribosomal RNA", at positions 338 to 795 of the family's 1533-position model. Lineage: Bacteria; Pseudomonadati; Pseudomonadota; Gammaproteobacteria; Oceanospirillales; Halomonadaceae. The record is from RNAcentral.